UGAUACGGGUAGUUUGUUGAUACACUCUCUGCUUUCAAGGCGUGAAGACUUUGAAGAUCCUCCGACAUUGAAGACUUGAAAGGACAUCAGAGUUUUGCCUUUAUGGCUAAUGUCGACAGUUCUUCAAGUCAGUUUGUUGGUGCACUUGUGUCUGUACUUUGUCUGUAUUCGGUCUGAUAUAAACGAUGUCCUGAUUUGUAUUGUAAGUUGACCAAGUCAACCAUCCUCCGGUUUGACUUGGACAACAUUUGAAAGAUGUUCAGAUCGAAGGAUAGCCUCGAAGGAUACACCUGAUCCUUCGAGGUGAUCGAAAGAUAUGGUUCGACCAUGGUUCGACCAUUAGACCUCGAAGGAUGAUCCUUCGAGGUCCAUGCUGAUCUUUCGUAUGAACUGUGAUCGAUAGAUGAUCCUUCGGACCAUCUAUCAGAUCCUUCGAUCCAGACCUGCUGAGCUGGGUAUAUAUACCCAU
This 469-nucleotide long non-coding RNA is filed under the name Helianthus annuus (common sunflower). RNAcentral describes it as "hypothetical non coding rna". The record is from RNAcentral. Lineage: Eukaryota; Viridiplantae; Streptophyta; Magnoliopsida; Asterales; Asteraceae.